GCCAAUAAUGACACAUGAUUUCCUUGUCUUGAUACAAUUAAGUCUAUUGUUAUGACAAUUCAAUUCUUAAUUUCAAAAGAAAGUCAAACUCUCGAUAUAUAUUUACACCUUUUGUUCCUCUCGAUAUCAGUUGCAAAACACGGUCAUCCCCAUCUUAGGAAAGUUGAUAAAUCUUCUUCCAUCUAAAAAUAUUCUCUAAGUCCUUAAAGAAAUCAACUCUCGGUACCAACAUCAAUUUGUAGUAUAACCUCUAGUCUCAAAGAAGCAAUAAGCACUCGAUCGUUCGGUUGACCGUAGGAUAUCGAGAGUCAGUAUCAUUGGAAGAAAACGCUUGAGGCUUGACGAUGUGCAUCUCUCUCUUUUGCAUCCUUCAUCAUCUAUUCAUUCAUUCAAGAGUUUCUAUAAUUUUGAUUUAAAAAUUAAUAACAAGUGUCGGAAUUUGAGAUUAGAUUAGAUUAGUAUUGAAGGGAAAGUACUUUACUGUUACUGUCGACGAAGUUCGAACGCGAUUUUGUCGGAAUUUGAGAUUGAGAUUGAUAACUGCCGUGAAAGAAGAUUCUGGAAGUUUGGCCAAGACCACAAAUGCUUACCAGGUCAAUCAAUCACGCCUUCAAUUACUUGGUUUCUUUAAUUUUAUAUUUUUUUUUAUUUGGAUUUAUUCAAUUCAAAUACAAUUCCUCUGGCCCAUUGUUAUCCUGCGAUUAAGUUCUUUUGUAAGACAUGACCAAAUCCUUGAAUUUUUAUUUAACAUCUAUGGGAAAAGGAUCCUUGAAUCAAAUAUAGUGUUAAAAAUUGGUUCGAGUUUGAUUCUUUUUCUUUUCUACCAUUUCAUAGUAUUUCAACUUCAACACUAUAUUUGAUACACAAAAUUGAUUGAUUACAACAAUGGCUCAAGCAUGCCUUUUAUAGGCUUGGAAAAUAAUCAGACUUCUAAUUCUUACUUGUUAACCAAAAUUAAUAGCUAAGCUUGUAUUGGAGGUUAAAAUAAUGUCAUGGAGAAUUCUUAGAGCCCGGUCCAAAGGCUUUGUUUGCGACUUAAAUUUGUGGCGUACAAAACCACGAGAAUGUAUUGGAGUAGCCUGAUAGUGGCCUAAAUAUCAUGUUAGUGCAUGCUGUGCUUUAUUCCAUAUUUUGAGAAUUUGUUAUCUGUCUGCUGGUAUUGCUUCUAUUCAUAAUGCAGGUGUUGAGACUGUUCUAGA
Long non-coding RNA from Trifolium pratense (red clover), 1199 nucleotides. RefSeq lists it as uncharacterized. The record is from RefSeq and is a predicted model, not a curated record. The transcript has 2 exons. NCBI's taxonomy places the organism in Eukaryota, Viridiplantae, Streptophyta, Magnoliopsida, Fabales, Fabaceae.